RNAcentral lists this long non-coding RNA (945 nucleotides) under Phascolarctos cinereus (koala). Its description in RNAcentral is "lncRNA (ENSPCIG00000002760.2)". The record is from RNAcentral. Lineage: Eukaryota; Metazoa; Chordata; Mammalia; Diprotodontia; Phascolarctidae.
GAAAAUGAUCCUGGCAUUUGCCUUGCAUUCAACUCCAUUCAUUGGAUCCCACAGGCCAGCUCCGCAUGGCAGAUUGUUGAUUACUGUCAUAAGCACCAGAAAGGAGUGUGACAUACAAGAGGCAUCCUUCUUCUCUGGGGGUUUGCUGUAAUAAGCCUGUGGGAACAGCAAGUGAUGCUGAGCUGUGCCAUGCUCUACGCAGGGGACCCUGGCCUCGGGUCUCUACAGAGGCAACCCCUCCAACAGUCGACUGCUCUUGGAUCAGAAAUCCCUGCUGAGUUGGGAAAAUGAAGAAGGAUGAGUUGGGUUGUGCUUCUGGCUCCCAGCCCUCAGUCAGUCAGGAGAAAUGAUGGCUGAUGAUCUGUAAACAGUGCCAUUUUUAGCAUGGCUGGGAUGACUGUUGUUCCAGGGCCUGUUUCUGGGAUGGGCUGUCUGACGAGGGCUUCGAUAACAGCCUGCUCCCAGUUACAGUUUGCUGCUUGCUCUGCUUGGCUUGGCAAUGGGAACAUCCUAAAAACAGCUCUAUCCAUGGAGGAAUCACAGGGCUUGAAUGGGAAUGACUGACUCAAGAGUGAAAAUUUUGGAAGCUAAAGGAGGAAAAAAGAAAUGGCAAUCUGCAAAACUGCAGAAAAUUGUAAUAUCUCCUGCUGUUUCCCCUCACCCAGGUGGACUUGUUGAGGGGUUUCUCCUUCUCUUUGCUGUGCUCUAGCAAUCUGAGUGAGAUUGGUGCCUGAUCCAGCCAGAGCAGGCAAGACACUGCUUCUGAGCUUCCCUGCUGAGCCAGACUGCUGCCCCAUAGAGCUAGGGCUGGCAGCAACUCCCUCAUUUUCCAGCAUCUGUGGCAGCAGCAAUGACCCUGGUGGGAGGGAUGGUCUUCAUCUUGCCCAAUAUUUGCCCAGGGCUGAAAUGACUAUGCUCUUUCCCUUCAUGGCUUCCAUGGCAGGA